GGCACCUUUGAGUAAAUAUACAGCCUUCAUUCUGACUACGACAAUUAUCUUUUUAGUAGAUCUAUUCUCUUCAUGAGCAACAAGAUAGUUUAACAUAGGGGGGUAGCUAGCCACCCAAUCCACCCCACCCCAAAUCCGCCACUGAUGUAGUAAGGUUGUGAGUAGAGAUAUCUCAAUAGACAUAUGUCGAUACGAGGACCAGUCUACGCUGGAUGACUGUGUGAACAUGGUUGAAUCAAGAGAUCAAAUAUUCGUUUAAAAUCAAUGAAAAAUAAAUUCACGCUAAACCCUAAAUAAAAUAUAAUGGUUUACGGUAAAUAAACAGAUGCUUUCACGCUAACGCUAAUUUCUAUCAGGGUAUCACGAGUCUGACUGACUGACUCUCUCUCUAUAUAUAUAUCUCUCGCCCUCUCUCUCUCUCUCUCUCUGCGAUAAAAAAAUGUUUGGUGAAAUCAUGUGUACCCAACUGCGUAUCUGCGUUAUGGUAGCUACGCCCCUUACAGUAUAACGUAUGUACAGGAACUUCCGACUCAUUGACAGUGUUCAUCUACCAACUCGAUCCAUGGCCAUACCAGUGACGCUAAAAACACAAUUGAAUUAAUGGGCUAACAAAAAUUCCUAUUUGGUGAAUCCUUAGUAAACAAUUACAGGAAAAUUACUAUUGAAAUAAUAUCCUAUCAAUAGCAGAUGCCACUGACUGACAAACUAUACUACAUCAGCAAUUAUGACAAUAGCAACUUGAUCAAUCAUUGACCCGUGUCAUUCUAAACAUUCCGUCAAUGCAAACACAAUCUUUAUCACUAAGACAUCACACUGGCUAGUAUAAUUCACGUUUAUAACAAAACACAUUCAAUUUACAAAUCAUCAUCCACAUUAUGUAACCGUCUUGCAAUACCAAUGAAAUGGCUACCAUGCCAUUUUCACCCAUUUGCCGUCUGCUCAGUACGACGGGAUUAUCCUGCAUUUUACAGUGUAUAGUUUAGGGAAACAUACACUUAUUUACGUUCUAAGACCCUUUAGGGACAAGAUCAUAUAGUUUUCAACAGAAAAACACUCACCCUAACGUCGAUGAUUAGAGAUUAUAAUCGGCAGUUCGAUGCAUACAAAGAUCCUGCUAAUGCCACUACAUCUUUGAAAUUUUUGUAUACUUUAAAUUAUUUCAUGGAACAAAUAUUGCCUGACAUAUCCGCUAAUCUCAAAAGAUUUCACUGAUCAGUUGAUGCCUCAAAUUUUCUUAUUAAUUAAUUUAUGCCUCACAUUGUCUCACUAAUAAAAUGGUGGCCGUUAUUGUUGUACUAAUCCAAACACAAAAUAUUUCCUAAAUUGUUACACUAAUGCACUGUCAUUGACAGUAAUGCCAGAAACGAAAGUAAACUGAGGAAAAGGGAAAUUUAAAGUAUAUGCUGUAUGUCUCUUCAGAAAGUGCAAAAAGUUAGGAUUAGUAUUGAAAUCCGUAAAUAUUUGAUAGAAAGCUAAACACAGCUCUAGACUGGUGUGGAGGCAAGAGUCAGGCCAUUUAUCAUGCAAGGCUAGAUAGACUUGACAUAACAGUCAAGUGUAGCAUGAUGCCUGCGUAGAUGGCCACGUGACACUGGUGGCGUAUAUAUUGCAUUUUUCUUAACUAUUCCUUAAUUGUUGCUGGGUGCCAGAGAGAAGAUAAACAAUUCCAUGUAGUCUGCUAUGGCAACAGCUUCCGUUUAGAGGCACUUCUUCACAUCUUGUAGAGAGUAAUAUGAAAGUAGAUUUUUUUACUGCCACCACAAGCUAUUUACAUAAGGUGCUGCAGCAUAAUAUAUAUAUAUAUAUAUAUAUAUAUAUAUGCAUAACAUUUUAAUUGCCAAAUAUGAACGGAUUGCCCAGAGAUACCAGAGGAAAGACUACCUAUGAUGUCAACAAGGUUAGGCUGAUAGCAACAAGGUUAGACAGAAGGCAACAAGGUUAGGUUGAUGGCAACAAGGUUAGGUUGAUGACAACAAGGUUAGGCUGAUGGCAACAAGGUUAGGCUGAUGUCAACAAUGUUAGGUUGAUGUCAACAAUGUUAGGCUGAUGGCAAAAAAGGUUAGGCGGAUGGCAACAAGGUUAGGCUGAUGUCAACAAUGUUAGGCUGAUGGUUUGGUAACGUGAACCCCACGUUGAAAUGUUCUGGAAUUAGACGGACUCGUGUAGUAAGUCCGCCAGGAGGACAGAUGGAAUUUACUUAGCAUUUCCUCACAACUCUCAUUCACACACGGCCUUCCUCGUGUGUAUCUCUUCAUAAUCUUAAAUUAUCAUAUCUAUAUUACGAAAAGCACGUGCACAACUAUAUUUAAUAUAUUUAAUAAUCUUUGCUAAAUUAUAUAUAUACACCAUAAUAUAUUCUACGUACAUUCCAUGCACACAUGCUAUCUCACGUUCCCCUCAUGCAUCUGCUAAUAACACCUAGAGUUCAUGAGGUGGUUAUUACUAACACGUGUUUCCAUACUUGGCAGCUAUACGAGCGUGUGUGUGCGUGCGUGCACGUGCACCCCGUGCAUGACAGCUUUAAUUGUGCGUACAGGUGGCACUGCGUGCGCAUUACGAUCCUUCCCCUCGCUUCGCCUUGAUUCGAUGCAUGAUGGUAUAACAUUAGUUGUGUUUUUGAUUUGUCGGUGAAGGGUUGGUAAUAUGUUAAUGAUGUGACUGAGAUGAGUAGCUAGUCUAGCGGUGCUGGUAUUGUACUGUUGUCUGUAUUACUGCAGAUGUUGUAGUGAAGAGCAAUGAAUAGAUUGUCGUACAUCUAGUUUGACUGAUGAUGAUGAUGAUGAUGAUGACGACGACGACGACGAUGGUGACGAUGAGGAUGAUGAUGACGGUGAUGAUGAUCAUGACCAUUACGAUGAUGGUGAUGAGACUGAUGAUGAUCAUGGCCAUUACCAUGAUGAUGAUGAUGAUAAUGAUGGUGAUGAUGGUGACGAUGGUUAUUAUUAAGAUAAUUACAAGGAGACGUGUAAUCUGAGGUUUUGAUAUUAAGCAGCCAUGCGGGUUAACUUUUUGACAUCCAUUCUACGGUAUAUCUACAAACUCGAGUGUUUUUCGAGAGAGUUUCGCCAUUUGUUUCGUGUAUGACAUUGUUCAACAGUAGCCUGUAACUUAUAAGUAGACGGAUGUGUUGUUUACCAUGUUUACUCUUACAUAAUCCCCGGUAAGCUUCAGCCUAUUGCUCACGUAACUAUUCAUAACAGUGUGAUUCUAUGAUGAAUCGUAUAUGAAUCUAUUAUAUAUUGAUUAUUAUUUUGCGUAUAUUAUUGGACGUGUAACUGAUAUUUUUUGCCAUCUGUAAUGCUUCUAUUCCUGUGUGGGAGUACGUAGUCAUCAGGCGAUAUAAACACAAGGUUUUGGCUUCACGCCAACGUUGAUUA
Priapulus caudatus is the source of this 3377-nucleotide long non-coding RNA. RefSeq lists it as uncharacterized. Lineage: Eukaryota; Metazoa; Priapulida; Priapulimorpha; Priapulimorphida; Priapulidae. The record is from RefSeq and is a predicted model, not a curated record. The transcript has 2 exons.